AAAUUUAGUAAAUUUUUUUGUUAUUCCGUAGUUCCCGCCUUUUGAAUAUGCAAUUUUACACGGGAUAUAAGCAUUUAUUUCUGCUCGAAAUCUGUAGUUCAGGCGUUUUUGAAUAAAAUAAUAGAAAUACAUCAAAAGAAUAUUCUUCACAAAUAGGCAAGGUGGCAAAGACAAAGGGAGAGAAUACAGUGAAUAGAUUUAUAAGAAGUCUCGUCUGUUCAAAUAAAAAAAGGGGAGGAAAUGAAGGUCUAAAUCUUUUAUAGCGACACCUGCCUCAAAUCUUCCUCGUAAGGGAGUCCCUAAUAAAAUGAGACAAGUAGAUUUUUUUUCUAGAUCACCUAAGCAGUUUUAAAUAGAUCUAGCCUCCAAGCUCAGAAGGUCACC
Biomphalaria pfeifferi is the source of this 384-nucleotide non-coding RNA. The record is from the annotation of a GenBank genome assembly. Lineage: Eukaryota; Metazoa; Mollusca; Gastropoda; Planorbidae.